RNAcentral lists this ribosomal RNA (254 nucleotides) under uncultured bacterium. Its description in RNAcentral is "partial 16S ribosomal RNA". It matches the Rfam family "Bacterial small subunit ribosomal RNA", at positions 524 to 777 of the family's 1533-position model. The record is from RNAcentral.
UACGAAGGGUGCUAGCGUUGUUCGGAAUUACUGGGCGUAAAGCGUGCGUAGGUGGCUUAUCAAGUCAGGGGUGAAAUCCCACAGCUUAACUGUGGAACUGCCUUUGAAACUGAUAAGCUAGAGUCUUGGAGGGGAUAGCGGAAUUGCUAAUGUAGAGGUGAAAUUCGUAGAUAUUAGCAGGAACACCGGUGGCGAAGGCGGCUAUCUGGACAAGCACUGACACUCUGGCACGAAAGCGCGGGGAUCAAACAGGA